GGGCCUGCACAAGCGGUGGAGCAUGUGGCUUAAUUCGAUGCAACGCGAAGAACCUUACCUAGGCUUGACAUGGACAGGACCGGGGGCGAAAUCCCCCUUCUCUUCGGAGUCUGUUCACAGGUGCUGCAUGGCUGUCGUCAGCUCGUGUCGUGAGAUGUUUGUUAAGUCCAGCAACGAGCGCAACCCCUGCCACUAGUUGCCAGCGAUUCGGUCGGGAACUAUAAGGGGACUGCCGGUGAUAAACCGGAGGAAGGUGAGGACGACGUCAAGUCAUCAUGCCCCUUAUGCCCAGGGCUGCAAACACGCUACAAUGGCUGGUACAGAGGGCUGCGAACCCGCGAGGGCAAGCG
This 350-nucleotide ribosomal RNA is filed under the name uncultured bacterium. RNAcentral's name for it is "bacterial SSU rRNA". It matches the Rfam family "Bacterial small subunit ribosomal RNA", at positions 917 to 1269 of the family's 1533-position model. The record is from RNAcentral.